AAAAUGCGUUACUUGGUGUGAAUUGCAGAAUCCCGUGAACCAUCGAGUUUUUGAACGCAAGUUGCGCCCGAAGCCAUCCGGCUGAGGGCACGCCUGCCUGGGCGUCACGCAUCGCGUCGCUCCCCACCAUACCUCCCCAACGGGUUGGCAUGGUGUUGGGGGCGGAUAAUGGCCUCCCGUGCUUGUGUUUCGGUUGGCCUAAAUAAGAGUUCCCUUCGGCGGACACACGACUAGUGGUGGUUGAAUAGACCCUCGUCUUUUGUUGCGUGUCGUGAGCUGUAAGGGUAGCCCUCAUCAAAGACCCCAUUGUAUCGUCUUCGGAUGAUGCUUCGACCGCGACCCCAGGUCAGGCGGGACUACCCGCUGAGUUUAAGC
RNAcentral lists this unclassified non-coding RNA (375 nucleotides) under plant metagenome. Its description in RNAcentral is "partial contains 5.8S ribosomal RNA, internal transcribed spacer 2, and large subunit ribosomal RNA". The stretch from base 1 to 107 matches the Rfam family "5.8S ribosomal RNA", at positions 50 to 154 of the family's 154-position model. The record is from RNAcentral.